This is a non-coding RNA of Caenorhabditis elegans, 121 nucleotides long. Lineage: Eukaryota; Metazoa; Nematoda; Chromadorea; Rhabditida; Rhabditidae. The record is from Ensembl.
UUUCAUUUGCUCAUUUGGCGCCCCGGCUUCUCAGUAAAAAGCUCCGCCUCCCAACUUUCAUUCUGGUUUACCAAGUGGCCCGAGAGACGGAGACUUUCAGAUAUUUUUGAGCUUUGAAACU